UGGCCUUGACAUGUAGUGGCCCGGGUGCGAAAUCACCCUUUUCUUCGGAACUGCUACACAGGUGCUGCAUGGCUGUCGUCAGCUCGUGUCGUGAGAUGUUGGGUUAAGUCCCGCAACGAGCGCAACCCUCAUGUUCUGUUGCCACCCGGAUGUAAAUCCGGAGCACUCUGGACAGACUGCCUGGUUUUAACCAGGAGGAAGGUGGGGAUGACGUCAAGUCAGUAUGGCCCUUACGGCCAGGGCUGCACACGUACUACAAUGCCUGAUAUAAUGGGAAGCAAGACCGCGAGGUGGAGCAAAUCCUCAAAAUCAGGCCCAGUUCAGAUUGUAGGCUGCAACUCGCCUACAUGAAGGAGGAAUCGCUAGUAAUGCCGUAUCAGCUACGACGGCGUGAAUACGUUCCCAGGCCU
RNAcentral lists this ribosomal RNA (410 nucleotides) under uncultured bacterium. RNAcentral's name for it is "bacterial SSU rRNA". It matches the Rfam family "Bacterial small subunit ribosomal RNA", at positions 976 to 1381 of the family's 1533-position model. The record is from RNAcentral.